Molecule: ribosomal RNA, 253 nt
Filed under: uncultured bacterium
Lineage: Bacteria
Description: partial 16S ribosomal RNA
Rfam family: Bacterial small subunit ribosomal RNA
Source: RNAcentral
UACGAAGGGGGCUAGCGUUGCUCGGAAUCACUGGGCGUAAAGGGUGCGUAGGCGGGUCUUUAAGUCAGGGGUGAAAUCCUGGAGCUCAACUCCAGAACUGCCUUUGAUACUGAGGAUCUUGAGUAUGGGAGAGGUGAGUGGAACUGCGAGUGUAGAGGUGAAAUUCGUAGAUAUUCGCAAGAACACCAGUGGCGAAGGCGGCUCACUGGCCCGAUACUGACGCUGAGGCACGAAAGCGUGGGGAGCAAACAGG